This 316-nucleotide long non-coding RNA is filed under the name Brassica napus (rape). RNAcentral's name for it is "long non-coding RNA (BNAP_LNC019099)". The record is from RNAcentral. Lineage: Eukaryota; Viridiplantae; Streptophyta; Magnoliopsida; Brassicales; Brassicaceae.
GGUAUGAGUUUAUUAUUUUAAAGUAAAUAUUAAAAAGAAUGUAUAUUUAAAUUUUAAAUAAAAGGUCUUAAUAGAUAUUAUUAAAAUGUAAUUUUAGAAAAAGAUACUUAAGAAUAUCUUUUUUGAUAUCUUAUUUUGAAAAUAUUUAAAUAAUUGGUUAGAUGUGAUAUAUAUUUAAUAAUAUUGAUAAUUGAUCGAUUUUUUAUGGUUCAUAAUUUUAGAUUUAUCUGUACCAUGAAUAAAUUCCUAAAAUGGUUAAAAUCUACUAAUCCAUUCUGUAUUGGUAAAAUACUUUUGAGUUUGAUGAGCAGUCUCA